UGUAGUCAUAUGCUUGUCUCAAAGAUUAAGCCAUGCAUGUCUAAGUAUAAGCAAUUAUACAGCGAAACUGCGAAUGGCUCAUUAUAUAAGUUAUCGUUUAUUUGAUAGUACCUUACUACUUGGAUAACCGUGGUAAUUCUAGAGCUAAUACAUGCUAAAAAUCCCGACUUCGGAAGGGAUGUAUUUAUUAGAUUAAAAACCAAUGCCCUCUGGGCUCCUUGGUGAUUCAUGAUAACUUCUCGAAUCGCACGGCCUUGCGCCGGCGAUGGUUCAUUCAAAUUUCUUCCCUAUCAACUUUCGAUGUUUGGGUAGUGGCCAAACAUGGUUGCAACGGGUAACGGAGGGUUAGGGCUCGACCCCGGAGAAGGAGCCUGAGAAACGGCUACUACAUCCAAGGAAGGCAGCAGGCGCGCAAAUUACCCAAUCCCGAUUCGGGGAGGUAGUGACAAUAAAUACUGAUACAGGGCUCUUUUGGGUCUUGUAAUUGGAAUGAGUACAAUUUAAAUCCCUUAACGAGGAACAAUUGGAGGGCAAGUCUGGUAAUCG
This 546-nucleotide ribosomal RNA is filed under the name uncultured eukaryote. RNAcentral describes it as "SSU rRNA". It matches the Rfam family "Eukaryotic small subunit ribosomal RNA", at positions 21 to 570 of the family's 1831-position model. The record is from RNAcentral.